CCUACGGGGGGCUGCAGUGGGGAAUAUUGCGCAAUGGGCGAAAGCCUGACGCAGCGACGCCGCGUGAGGGAUGAAGGCCUUCGGGUCGUAAACCUCUUUCAGCAGGGAAGCGGUACCUGCAGAAGAAGCACCGGCUAACUACGUGCCAGCAGCCGCGGUAAUACGUAGGGUGCAAGCGUUGUCCGGAAUUAUUGGGCGUAAAGAGCUCGUAGGCGGUCUGUCGCGUCUGGUGUGAAAACUCAGGGCUUAACCCUGAGCUUGCAUCGGGUACGGGCAGACUAGAGUGUGCUAGGGGAGACUGGAAUUCCUGGUGUAGCGGUGAAAUGCGCAGAUAUCAGGAGGAACACCGGUGGCGAAGGCGGGUCUCUGGGGAUACUGACGCUGAGGAGCGAAAGCAUGGGGAGCGAACAGGAUUAGAUACCCUUGUAGUC
This 431-nucleotide ribosomal RNA is filed under the name uncultured bacterium. RNAcentral describes it as "partial 16S ribosomal RNA". It matches the Rfam family "Bacterial small subunit ribosomal RNA", at positions 338 to 795 of the family's 1533-position model. The record is from RNAcentral.